Long non-coding RNA from Brienomyrus brachyistius, 4895 nucleotides. RefSeq lists it as uncharacterized. The record is from RefSeq and is a predicted model, not a curated record. NCBI's taxonomy places the organism in Eukaryota, Metazoa, Chordata, Actinopteri, Osteoglossiformes, Mormyridae. The transcript is spliced from 3 exons.
AAGCACCCAGUCUUCUUCCUCCUGUCACUGGCCAGACUGUGUACAGUAUAAUCAAAUGGUGUUCCGUGCUAGUGCUUUGUUCCUGUAGAACCUUUGUUCCGAUAGGAUUAAUGAAAGCCGUACUUUCAAAGGAUUCCGAAGGAAAAAUAGGCAAUACCUGUUUUGUGGCUCCGUGGACUUCCUGCCACCGGAGAUGAUGGAGGAGUUUAGUGCCGGGGUCUGCGGCUUGACGCAGUCGGAGAGCUCGGAGGUGGGGGCAGAGGAGGAGACGGAGGUGACGGGGCUCUCCGUCACGGUGACGAGGCUGGUGGUGGCGACGACGUCGUGACCCUCGUCCUUGAGGACCUGGAGCGUGCCGCUCUCCAGGUCGAGCUCCUCUUUGGCCGCCUGCUCCGCUGCGAGCCGCGCCUCCUUCUGCUGCCGGAAUCGCUGGAACAGCUUCCGUACGGGAUGGUCGGGGGGCAGGUUCAGGGGGGCCUCAUUCUUCCUCCGCAGCCGCUCUUCCUCCUCACGCUUAACGUCGCUGAUCUUCCGGAAGAUCAUCUACAAUGACAUGGAAAUGACACUGAAAGCUACCUUUCAUACACGCAACAUCAAUUUGCCGUUAUUUUAAAUCAUGCAGGAGUGUGAAGUUAUAGCACGAGCCAUGGAAGCGUUGCAGAGAGGUACGGGGAACGGUCAAGAAUUAAGGAUAUAUUUUUGUUAUUUUACCCUUUUUUGUUAAUGUGUUAUUUUAAAAUAAGUAUAAAACACACUAUGAAACAUUUCAUUCAAAGCGCUUUAAGGGGUAACUUUACAAAAGUUUAGUCAAGUCUGCCACUCUGUCUAUGAAAAUGAGCAGGACAUAUUUUGUUAUUUAAAGAUGGCGGACAUGGUUAUUUAAUUACAUUUAAUAGUACCUAGUAAGUUAGAAUCAUUUAGAAUCAAGCAUCAAAUACACAUGAAAAAACCUUGGUAGAAUAAUGUCUAGUUGUAUGGUGGUGCAGUGGUUAGCACUGUUGCCUCACACCUCUGGGACCCUGGUUCGAGUCUCUGCCUGGGUCACAUGUGUGCGGAGUUUGCAUGUUCUCCCCACGUCAUUGUGGGGUUUUCUUCGGGUACUCCAGUUUCCCCCCACAGUCCAAAAACAUGCUGAGGCUAAUUGGACUUGCUAAAUUGCCCGUAGGUGCGCAUGUGUGUGUGAAUGGUGUGUGAGUGUGCCCUGCGAUGGGCUGGCCCCCCAUCCUGGGUUGUUCCCUGCCUCGUGCCCAUUGCUUCCGGGAUAGGCUCUGGACGCCCCGCGACCCAGUAGGAUAAGCGGUUUGGAAAAUGGAUGGAUGUCUUGUUGUCUUGAUGGAAACGCCCAGCUGGGAGGGGGUAACCUCGCCUCACGCUUUAUUAAGCGAGUGACGAGCACAAAAUGCAGAUACAUCUGAAAGCUUGAAACAGACAGAGACAUCUUCAACACUAUGAUGGAAAUGCUAAACAGAAGGUAUGCUAAAUCUCUCACCGUAUUUCAGAAUUGUUAGAAUUGUCAGGCGCUACUGUGAAAACAUGUUGCUAUUAUUUUGACCAUGUGUUUUCUAUUCUGUGAAGCUCGAGGAAGGAUCGAGAAACAAAGGAUUGGAAUAGAAGCUAUAGAAGAAUUUAUUGUUCAUAGUUAGUUAUUUCUAUGGGUUUUAUUGUUUAAAUGCGGCAAAGCCUGAAAGUGAUUAUACUCUCAGUUGCAGAUAACAGCGAUCUAUUAAGCAGACCAGAGGUUACUUUCAGAGACGACCAUGAGGAGUCUGAGACCAAGCAAGACAACCUUAAGCGAAAAAGUGCUGAUAGUUUUAAUGUUUCAGAUGGAUGGCAAACCCCAGAAAUGGCAGCCCAGAUUGAUAAGCUUGUCAGCGGGGGAUUUACAGAGCUGGCAUCAACAGAGGAAGACACCGAGGGCAGAAGCAUGAGACCACUGAAUGUUAUACAGUUUACUAUAGGAGUAGUGGUAUGGAUUCUGGAUACGAUAAUAGACAAGAACCUAGAGGAGAAUCGUAAGGCCUGCGCUGCAUUCUGCUCAGACCCACAGCAGCACUCAUGUCUCUACAAUCCAAAACCACAAUUCCUUUUUGAUAAUUUUGAAAACUGUGUAGACCGUGCUGGAAAAAUGUUAUAGUGAACGGGAUCUUGAUAUUUAACCCAAUUCCGUCAUCUCCCACAAUGAUUCAAAGGGUUAUUGAUACAGUUUUAAAUAAGUUGAAAAAUGAGAGGGACACACGUAGCAAACUGGAUGAAUUGAUACGUGGUGUUAUGGUCAAUGAUUACGACAAUGAUGUAGAUGCAGCCGCUCGAGCGUUCUGAGAUAUGGAGCGGGACAAGCAGGUCCCGACAGACGUGAACUGAAUGUAACUGUUUGCGAUUGACUCUGGUCAAAAAUGUAUUUUUUAUUUGUUUGUAAUCAUUCUAACUGUCACGUCUCGGGGAGACACAGAGUGAGGAAGCACGAACUGGAGUCUAGAGUCAGGGAAAGAGGGGUUUAUUAAGAAGACAAUCCUAAUACAAGACAUAGAAGCACAGGCAGCAUCAAUGACCAGACUGGGGAAACAAACUGAAAUGCGGACUAAAUACAUUAAACUAAUGAGAGCAACAGGAAACAGCUGGUAAACAUGGGGAAUCCACAUGGGGUAGAUGAGGGGGCGUGGCCACGCGGGAGGAGCAGACAAGCGGGCCAUGACACUAAUUAAAUGAUAUGUCUCAAAAACAUUCUGUCAUUAUUGCUGGAUGUUCACUAUGCCUAACAAAGGGAAACCACUUGAACCCUGAAAACAUUCACAAUCCUAUCAGUGAAAUAUAACCCGCUAAAGAAUCAUCCAUCCAUCCAUCACUUUUCCAAACCGCUUAUCCUACUGCGACUCGGGGGGUCCGGAGCCUAUCCCGGAAGCAAUGGGCACGAGGCAGAGAACAGCCCAGGAUGGGGGGCCAGCCCAUCGCAGGGCACACUCACACACCAUUCACUCACACAUGCACACCUACGGGCAAUUUAGCAACUCCAAUUAGCCUCAGCAUGUUUUUGGACUGUGGGGGGAAGCCGGAGUAACCGGAGGAAACCCCACGAAGACAGGGGGAGAACAUGCAAACAAGGACACUUGUGCCUACUGCUAACAGCACGCGGCUGUGGCUGGACCACCACUGGAUGUGUAUGUGCUAGCUUACAUUCAUCCUGCUAUAUGUUUUAUUAUUCCUUAAAACACAAUUAAAAACAACACAUUAAUAAAUGCAUGUAAUGUUUGACGGUCCCCCUUAUUUCCCAAACCAUAUGGCCCCCUAUCCGCAAGAUGUGGCAUAAGCAUGUCUGAAACCAUAUAUGGACAUAUAUGAACUUAUGAUGUCAUAAAUGGAGCCCUACUAAGCUCCUCCCAAAGUACCAGGUAAUAUUUUUUGUAGACGUUCUAACACCAGUCAAACACCGGGCAGUAAAACCAGCAGCAGCGCUAAUGCAUGCAAAACACUGGCCAGUAAAACCAGCAGAAGCACUAAUUACAGUGAAACACCAGCCAGUUAAACCAGUAGUAGAGCUCACACCAGUAUGAAGCCAGCAUAUGGACUGAUAAUGUAAAGCAGCUGGAUGUCAUGGUCACACAUGAGCUACACCCCGCUAGCUCCUGAUUACAUUUUGAGGAGAUACAGUAUUUAUAAGUACAAUAUUUAAGCCAGUUAAUCCACUCUGCUUCACAGCCAAACGUGUGACACUGCAGUUAAAACAAAAAAAGCCUGAAUCCCAUCCUCCUGUUUCCUUCUAUCUCUAAUAAAUUCUUGGGCAAAAAUAAAAGGUGAAUAAAAAUAACUUUUUGUUCAUAUUUUUCACACAGGGCUGCCAGAGGUGCUUUGAUCGCGAAGUUGGUUGUGAUAUCAGAUCUCUUUGGGGUUUUAUACAGCCAUUUUCUCACUAACAGCUCCAGCCAAAUAAGACCCUGAAACUGUCCCAAAAACACCUCAGCCUGCAGAUUCGCCAUAAAAUCACAGUUGAGUUGUCAUAACAGGUUUAGGAUCAACGGUGACUGACAUGAGCGGAACAAUCGAAGAACAAAGGCAAGGUUUUACGACACACUAACGGACCUGUCAGCUAAUGGAGAGUUCAGCUGCUCAAGUUUAACGUACACAUGAACCAUCACUGAACCAGAAUGAAAAAUUAUCACUACUGAACAGUUUGCCUCUGCCUAGUACAUUUAUCUACCCAUCCAUCCUCCAUAGCAACUUAUCAAAGACAAUGUCACCGUGAUCCAAGACCUGAUCCCAGAGCACAGGGUGCGAGGCAGAACCCACCCUGGAUACUGGGACGAAAUCCCAUUAUCACACCCUACGCUGGUGCAGUGGGUCCUGGGUUCCUCCUGGUGCUCGGCCUCAUGUGGUGAGAAUAUGCAGGCAGUUCCUGGAGGAUGAAGGAAUUGAUACCUUUGACUGGCCUCCACGUUUGCCUGACCAAAAUCCAAUAGAACACCUCUGGGACAUUAUGUUUUGGUCCAUCUGACACCACCAGGUUGCACCUCAGACUGUCCAGGAGCUCAAAGAUACCCUGGUGCAGAUCUGGGAGGAGAUCCCCCAGGACACCAUCCAUCAUCUCAUUAGGAGCAUGGCCCCAACAUUGUCAGGCAUGCAUUCAAGCAUGUGGGGUCCAUCCAAAGAACUGAGUACGAUUUUGAGUUGCUGCAAUGAAAUUUCGGCAAAAUGGACUAGCCUGCCGCAUUAUUUCAUCACUUUGAUUUUUGGGGUGUCUUUGAAUUCAGCCCUCUGUAGGUUGAUGAUUUUAAUUUCAUCUAACAAUGUAGCAUCCUUUCAUUUCUAACACAUUACCCAGUCCAUAUCAGUAUAUAUAACGAGCAUGAUUUUUUUUUCUCAUUCAGAUCUGAUGUGUUUUGAAGAUGUUCCUUAAAUUUUUU